UACGAAGGGUGCAAGCGUUACUCGGAAUUACUGGGCGUAAAGCGUGCGCAGGCGGUUUGUUAAGUCUGUCGUGAAAGCCCCGGGCUCAACCUGGGAAUGGCGAUGGAUACUGGCGAGCUAGAGUACGGUAGAGGAGAGUGGAAUUCCCGGUGUAGCAGUGAAAUGCGUAGAUAUCGGGAGGAACAUCUGUGGCGAAGGCGACACCCUGGACCAGCACUGACACUGAGGCACGAAAGCGUGGGGAGCAAACAGG
This 253-nucleotide ribosomal RNA is filed under the name uncultured bacterium. RNAcentral's name for it is "partial 16S ribosomal RNA". It matches the Rfam family "Bacterial small subunit ribosomal RNA", at positions 524 to 776 of the family's 1533-position model. The record is from RNAcentral.